CGAAAAGAAAAGAAAAGGGGAGAAACUAGAAAUAUUGUACAAAGUGGAGGGCUAUUUAUAAAUUGACAAGUUGGGAUCAGGAAUUGGGGUUUCGUUUUUGGGUUACUGAAAGGGAAACAAUCGAAGAAUUUGAGAAGCGAAGCGCACAACGCAAGCACAAGGGAGAGAAGAAAGAUCCUCUCUUUACACACUCUUACUUCCCUAACUUUUCUCGUUGCCAAGAAAUUCGCACCUCAGUUGAUAAUGAUUCAACAACUCAUGAAAGAUUGACAAAUGGAUCCUGCAGGCAAAAAAUUUGGGGGACCAAGAGAAUUGACAAGUGCUGUGGAUCUAUUAAAUCACUUCAAAUUACUUCCCCAUUUUGAGUUUUUCUGCAAGAGGCCACUUCCUGUUUCAAUUUCGGACACACACUAUUUACACAGCGUGAUAGGAGACGUAGAAAUUAGAAAAGGAGAUGGGAUGCAGUUGGAUCAACUUAUUCAGAGUACAUCUUCAUCCAGUGGUACAAGUUCUCGUAUACAGCUUUUGGACCUAGAUGUUCUAAAGGAUGCUUUUCAACUCAAGGAAACAGCUCCUAUUGAUUUGCCUGCUGCUGAGAAGGGGAUUCCAACGGUUGCAGGAAAAUCAAAAAGUGAGUCUAAAGACAAAGACAAGAAGCAUAAAAAACACAAAGACAGGGACAAAGAUAAGGACAAGGAGCAUAAGAAGCACAAGCAUCGUCAAAAAGAUCGAAGCAAAGACAAAGAAAAGGACAAAAAGAAGGAUAAAAGCAGGCAUCAUGAUUCCAGUGCUGAUCCCUCAAAGAAACACCAUGAGAAGAAAAGGAAGCAUGAUGGAGAUGGUGAUCUAAAUGAUGUGCACAAACACAAAAAAAGUAAGCAUAAGAGCUCAAAAAUUGAUGAAUUGGGGACAAUAAAGGUUGCAGGCUAAAAUGGUUACCUACUGUAGUUCUCUUCUUUUCCUCAAAUGGUUGUUGUCAUUUGUUAAAGUUUGUGGAGGGGGUCUUUCACUUGACAUUAUCAGAUUUCUUAAGGAAGUAUCAAUACAUGCGAUGUGUCAUUGGAGAUUGAUGUAAUUGACAUGGAUGAGUAGCUGGCAAGAAAGAUUUGUUCUCAUCUUUUUGGUCCCCUAAAUAAUAAAAAGUAUUUUUAUCAUGCUUUAGUUUUAUAUAUAUUUUGCAUAUUACACAACCAUUUUCACUACAAACUGAUAGGGAAAUAAUGGUGAUAAUAUUGGAAUUAUUUUGCUUCUAAAAUCUUUCCAUGAAAAAUAUUCUGUUAUGUGGUAACUAAUAUUCCUGUUGUGCUGACUGUUUAGUACGGUCUAUUAUUGCUUUUGCAUAGGAAUUUUGGAUGCUUAGGAAAAUGCUCCUGGCAGUUUUUGUGGGACACUUGGUUAUUGAAGCUAGAAAAACUAGCUAUUCCUAGGCUUUAAGAGCAUGGAUGUUGACGAUACAGAGAAGGAAGCAAAACAUUGGAAAGCCAUUCUACUUUUAGACAGAUGCAUAAAUGGUUUUUAUUUGUAAGAAAGGGAAGAGGAGGGUAGGUUGCAUGCUUAUGAAAAGUUCCAUCAUUAAUGACAUCAUUGAUCUGUCACAUAUUUCUAGAGCUUUGGAUGCAUUUUGUUCCCAAGAUUAGGUAGCAAAUUAUUCCAGAAACAACUUUUUGCUAAAAUUCAUGGAACCUAAAUGAGCACGGAGGGUGGGGGGAUCUUUGGCCUCGCUAAUUCUUGAGCUAUGUUUACUGUGGGUUAUUAAUAUCUUUGAUUUCCACCACACCCAAAUUUAAAAUCUUCAAAUUAUUGACCUGUGAAGGUAUUUGCUUUAUAUAUGCAGUAUAGUGUUUUUAAACUUGUCAAAUCUGAGGGUUUGUAGAUGUUUGGUUAUCAUAUGAGAAACUGUAAUUGGUCAUAGGUCGAUUGGAAUUAGGCUUGUUGUUUUCUGAUAACUUGCAGGAGGAAAUUGAGAUAACUAAUGGUGCUUAUUUUAUAUUUAAUAAUAGAGAUAUGUUUUAGUUGGGGAAGUGGUUUGGUGCAGUGUCAUUGAAACAGGGUAUAUAAUUUCUUAAACAAGUGUGAUGUAGAAUAUUGUGUAUUUACAAAAUUUAUCAAUUUUUAUAAUGAAUAUGUCACUGCAUGGUCUUAUGAAACCUUACCAGUCUUUCAGACAAUUGUGAUUAAUGAUGUUGAUGGAUGAUGUUCUCUCGAGUCUAGAGAAAGUUCAUCAUGUUUAAUCAGACAAUUGUGAUUAAUGGCAACUGCACCAAUAAUGAUUUCUACUGAUUUGAAUGUUUUAUAUAUACUGGGUCAGUGUGAUCAAGUCAUCAAACUGAGUUAAGCAUAGACACAACUCAUACAGGCGAUUGGAUAAUUACAUUGUUCAAGUUUAGACCUCAUUCUUGGGACCGGCAGUUGCUUUAGCACAAUCAGUCCUACAUAUAUUAUAUAUAUUAGAUUUAUUCUAAAUUAAUGCAAACAUGUGCUUAUGUUCUUCCCUUACACAUACUUAACUUUAUAAUGACAAUUAUCAGUAAAUUAACAUGUUGAUAUCUUCAUUUUUUCAUUCUAACAUGAUUAGUACAAAAUUAUGGUAUGGGUUUCAUGUUGGCAUCACUCGGCAGAUUCUCUCAUCUCUGUUAAUUACAUCAUGGACAUGGAACUGCAAACAUGUAAAAGACAAUAGAAGACACUGAAAAGUAACAAAAUGUGCCAAUGGAAAGCCAAGCUCUCCAGUGCCAAUUUAUAUGUUCCAUAACUAGAAAUGCUUAUAUUUUUAAUUUGUUUCAUGAUAACCAUUCUUGAUGGUUGCAGUAUACAUGAUACCCUCUAAUUUUAUGCAGAAUAGCUAGUGAUCUGACUAAAUAUUAUCAUGAAGGUGAAUUCACCUGAUGAAGGAAAAGGAUACAAGGUAAAAUUUGCUGAAAAUGAACCUUUUUUUCAAUUAACACUUAUCUGUUAUAAUUGCCAAUAUUUGCGAAACUUUGGUCCUUUUCCCAGUUUUUUGGCCCACUGAUAUCACAAAAUGUAUGCAUUACUUUAAUCUUCUUUGUAGAUUUUCCAGUUCAUAUAUUGAUAGUUUGAAUUAGCGUUAACAGAUUAUUUAGGAUGACUGAAUUAAGUGUGGAGGUUAUUACUUUCGCCCCAUAUCUUGUACUAAGUAGCAUGCCUCGCAUUAACAAUGACUGAAUGGUUCAGCACCAAACAAACUCUCGUUGGUUCCAAUAUUUUUGCAUACUAGGGUAAAUUGUUCAGAGUUCUUCAAUUUUAAAUGAAUUAUUUUAAGGUGCCCCUUUAUGGCUAUCAAGAGAUGGUUAUUUUAAACAGACAAGCCUCCUCUAAAAUAUCUAAAGUGGGAAGUAAUAGUGAUCGUGAUCUUAACUUCCUAAAUGAUUAAAGGGUGAAUAUAUUUUUUCUUCCUUACUUUAGAAGAACCUUUUCAUUUUACGUAA
This is an RNA transcript of Abrus precatorius (Indian licorice), 3446 nucleotides long. It is a transcript of the gene named mediator of RNA polymerase II transcription subunit 19a-like, with no coding region annotated. The record is from RefSeq and is a predicted model, not a curated record. The transcript has 8 exons. Lineage: Eukaryota; Viridiplantae; Streptophyta; Magnoliopsida; Fabales; Fabaceae.